RNAcentral lists this long non-coding RNA (614 nucleotides) under Gossypium raimondii (Peruvian cotton). Its description in RNAcentral is "long non-coding RNA (GRAI_LNC002365)". The record is from RNAcentral. Lineage: Eukaryota; Viridiplantae; Streptophyta; Magnoliopsida; Malvales; Malvaceae.
CCAUCAAACCACUGAGAUUUUAUUUAUAUAUCCGUAGAUUUGGGAUAUACCACAAUCGAUUUUAUCAUUAAAAACAUAAUCAUAAUUUAUUUUAAAACUUUCACCAUCUUUACUUUUUUUACCGACAAACAGAGACAAUAAAUCAUCAAAUAAUUUUAAUAUUAAAUUAUAAUUUUGAUAUCUCUAAUAUGCUUAAAUUUUAGAGUAGAUCCCUAUAUUUUAAUUUAUCAUAAUUUGAUGUUUCAUUUUUAAAACAAAUCAGAAACAAUGUCAAACCCUAGGUGCGCCGCACCUAGGGGUUCCUAGCUCUGUCCCCGCACCUAGCCUCUGCCGACGUCGCCGACUUGCACCGCCACGGUCACAUCCGUCCUCACCUGCCCACCUGCAAGAAAUUAAGGCAGAAAUGACAAGCAUAAAAUAGAUUAAAAAAAAUCAUGUAAAAAUGGCUAUAAAGCCAUAGCCAAUCACUUGUACCGGGGUUCUUCCCCCUCUUUCACGAUUUAAAGAAAUAAAAGCAAAGAAAACAGAUUCAAAAAAACCUCUUUUUUUUUGUAUAAGCUCUAUUUUCCCUUUUACUUCUUUUAUUUUUCCCUUUAUUUUUCUUCCUUUCAAAA